Long non-coding RNA from Callithrix jacchus (white-tufted-ear marmoset), 4378 nucleotides. The record is from Ensembl. NCBI's taxonomy places the organism in Eukaryota, Metazoa, Chordata, Mammalia, Primates, Cebidae.
AUGACAAGCGGCAAGUAUCGGAGAGGAGCCACCUGCGAUCUCACCCUGGACUCCUGGGAGUGGAGCAUGGCCGGGGGUCUUUGCCUGCGAAUAGCGUAUCCAUUUGAGUGGGGCAUUACCACCGUUCCUGAAGAAACGUUGAAGCUCCUUCUUUAUAAAGCAAUGAAAGACAAAGCAACAGAAGGACGGAGUAAGAAAGCACAGAUUCAACGACUGACAGAGCAAGCGGCUAGCACGGACUUAACUCCCCCUUUCCUUAAGAGAGGUCCUCGCAGACUCAGAGUAAGCAUUACGCCCGCGCACUCCUUAGCCCGUGUGUCUCUGGCACCUCCGAGCGCUUUAGCUCAGCUACAGAGCUUCUUAAUGUAACGGGCUUAACAUUUUUCCUUUGGGCUUCUUUGUCCAUAGUUCUCCUGUUUGUAUGCUGGAGUGUUCCUUCACUGAAGCGUCUUUGUACCCCACAGUUGGGCACCAAAAUGUCAGGGUACCAGCCCAGACACAACCUAGGAAGUAACAGGGUCGGCAGAGACAAAGAAAUUAAGAGACAAAAGUAAGUGCAUCAAGGUGGGCUCCCAGGGGCCCUAGAUGAAUAGGAGGAUGCGAAGGCUCCCAGCACUGGAGGCCCACACUGUUCACUGAGUGUUUAAACAAAGAAGCAUGUGCUCACGGAUGUGUAGGGGGUGGAAAAGAAGCAAAGCGUCAAGCAGAUAAUCUAGAGCUUUGGCGACUUGGCAUUUCCUGUGGAGGUACAGAGCCUGCUCUACUCUGAAACAAUCAGUAAACAGAUAGGGAAAGGCUGCAGCUAGAGCCAGCCAGCCUGGUCACAUUCUGGUGCUUCCAGGGGGUCUUCCUAGCUUUGAGCACGGAGCACGGUGCCGGAUAAGCAGGCCAUGCAUCAGCCCUUCUCUCAACAAAGCAUGUGUUCUGCUUACUGUGUACCAGGCACUGUUCUAAGUUCUUUUCCCGAGCGUGGGAAGGGGAAAUGAGAUAGCCCCUUUAAUCUCUUGUCAUUUCUUUCUUUUCUUUUCUUUUGAGAUGGAGUUUCGCUCUUGUUACCCAGGCUGGAGUGCAAUGGCGCGAUCUCGGCUCACCACAACCUCCGCCUCCUGGGUUCAGGCAAUUCUCCUGCCUCAGCCUCCCGAGUAGCUGGGAUUACAGGCACGCGCCACCAUGCCCAGCUAAUUUUUUUGUAUUUUUAGUAGAGACGGGGUUUCACCAUGUUGACCAGGAUGGUCUCGAUCUCUUGACCUCGAGAUCCACCUGCCUCGGCCUCCCAAAGUGCUGGGAUUACAGGCGUGAGCCACUGCGCCCGGCCCGUCAUUUCUUAAACACUUUUUAAUCCCCUAGUCUUACAGUGCAGAAGCGAGUUAAAUGAAGGACAUGAGAAUAGUCUUCUUUAUUUAUUGCUCCCUUUUAUUUCCCGUGAACUCUCAUAUACUCUAACAAGAGUGUGUUUCCUUCACUCUUCAGCCUGAGCAUGUUCAGCUUUUCUUGGGAGAGGGUGGGGGGUACAAUAUUUCACUAAUCUAACACCUUUGGUCUUAUUUAUAUAACAUGACGAUACAAUUUUCAGAUGUAUUAGGUUUCAAUAUGUUUUGUAUUUAAUAUAAGAAAACUCUCCUGAAAGAAAAGAGUGUGGCAAAGCUUGAGAAGUUGCUGGGAUUCAUGUAGCUAAUCAAAAUGGACCUAAGGUUUGAGCUCAGAUUGCCAGACUCCAGUUCAGUUAAUCCAGAGGUCCUUUGUUAGCGGAAACAAACCUGGAUUUGAAAUCCGGGAGAGGAACGUAAGGUCAUUGAGAAAUUGGAAGAUAGUCUAGUAUGUUUUCUGAUAUGUUUAAGUCUGUCAAAAGAAUAUUAUUAAUAACGUCCCCAGGGAGUGCUGGUGAGUCUUUUGACUAUAGAAUUGAAAUGAAUGUUUAAAAGUAAUUUUAAAAAUAAAAAAAGGAUUAGAAAUGAUAUUACCUACAUUUUGACUUCAAAAUCUAUUUCAGUCUACCCUGUCCGUGAAGGUUCUUUUCUUAAACGUUUUUUGGUGGUAGAAGAUGGUUAGAAACACUGCAGGAAUUGUGGGAAAAACAGGGCGAGGCCCAAGUCAUGAGUAGACUUAUGAAAACUGUUAGGACGGUUUUAUGUCAACUAAAUUAAUGAGGACAGAAGUCUAAUUAAAGAGAAAUAACAAUAUUGCUUCACGCGCCCUAAUUUCCUGAACAAUAGGUUCAGGCACAAGUCCUCCCAUUCUUGAUUUCCUGCCUGCUGGAAGUUUUUUGGCUUUCAAUAAGACGUUUAUAAAUUCAUGUACCUUUGCUGAAAAUAAUCUGCAGCUUCGGUGUUUUUAAAGUAUAGUCUAUCCUUCUGCUUAAUUAUUCAAAGUCACAGACACAGAUCAUUUUUUGAUGUUUGAGACGGGAAAAGCUUUGAAUGUCAUUUAUGUCCAUCUCCUUGUUAUAGAUGAGUAGUUAAUCAUCAAAUUCUUUUGUAAAGAUAAAAACCCUAAAAUGCAUGAAGCAUGUACUCUACUCACUGUGUACCAGGCACUGUUCUAAGUUCUUUACCUGUGUUAACCCAUUUCAUCUUCAGAGAAACCACUGAAGAUAAAUGCAAUUAUCGUCCCAUUUUUCAGACAGGGAAACGGGCACAAAAAGAUUAAGUGGCUCAUGUGAGGUCACACACCAGAAAGGAGCCAGACCCAGGAUUCUGCUUUCUGGAACUGUGUCUUAAGUGUUGCUCACAUGUUACGUGUAGGCCUCUCUGUGUGUAGGUUAUGCUGUCUCAGAGCUGCCUGAGUCCAGGCUUCAUAUUCCCUACUCCCCUGACAAAACAGGAGGGUCAUCAAGUUCAACUUUACUGUCUGUUGGCUUUUUAUGCUUCUGUUAAAGUUUCAUUGCAGAAAUUCUGCUUUGGUUCUCUGCUCUGUGUCUGAUUCCUAGUUAUUAUCUGUCUGUUUCUCUUGCAGAGUUGACUCUCAGAUCUUAUAUACUGUGUAUGGAAUGACAUUUCAAGAAAAGUCUUAGAAAUGAAACCUUUUUACUGAAAAAUUUGUUAAAAGAAAUAUUCAACAUAAAACAAAACAAACAAACAAACAAAUACUCAACAUUGAGGAGGGUUACUGCAUCCCUAAUAUUUUCUCAGUCAGACCUAAUUUAAGGAGCCCUCUUAAUUUUUAAAUAAAUAGAAAUGACUGUAUUUUCAGACUACAAAGUAACAUAAUUGUAUUGUAAAAAUGCAGGACAUGCAUGAAGAUAAAGAAGAUCAUUAAAAGCACCGCAUAUUUCGACCCCACAGUGAUAUCCACCGUUAGCAUCUGCUGAUGGAGCCACAUCACGAGGUACUAACCGUGACUGAUGAGACGGGAUCCUUGAAUAAACACUUCCAGCAAUAGGGAAACUCCAUCACGGGCAGCACACACUCCAUUCCAACAGCUUCAGUUGUUAGAAUGCUCCUUUUGGAAGAUGGAUAGACUUGACAUGCUUGUAUCCAUUCUUUCCUUCGACAUCUUGGCAGAGCUGCUAAUCUAUCACGGUGCUUUCUAUCGAGCUUCUAGGCAGCCACAGCCGCACUCAUCUUAUCAAACAGCCUGUCACACUGAAGUGCCCUCUUCCAAGCAUGCUAAUUUUUUGUCUUUUUAAUUUUGUUUUGCUUAACACCAGAGCCAUCACACUUGAAAACAUGCUCUCUACGUUUUUUUGUGUGUGCAAUAUGGAUAGGCUGAGAAUUUUCCCAUCUGCAAUUUCUAGUUCUUUUUUGCAUAAAAAUUUCAUCUUCAAUUCAUUUUUUUCCUUACAUGUUACGAUAAGCAGCCAGGAGGACUAAAGCCACUCCUUCAACACUUGGCUUCAAAUUCUCUCCAGCAACAUACAUUAUAAAUAUAUGCAAUUUUAUCGGUCAAUUCAAAGAUAAUAUAAAAAAUAAAUUUCUUUAAAUAUUUAAUUUCAUUGCUUGCAAAUUCUACCUUUCACAAAACACUAGAUCGUAAACACAAUUUUGCCAAAUUCUUUGCCAUUUUAUAACAAGGAUUGCUGUUUCUUCCUUGUCCAAUAAUAUGUUCUUUAUUUCUAUCUGAGACCUCCUCAGAAUGGCCUUUGCAGUCCAUAUUUCUUUCAGCAUUCUACUCAUGAUUAUUUGUGUGUUCUCUAAGAUGGAAGUCUUCUGCCACGUGAGGACACAGUAAGAGCGCGUCACUUACAAACCGGGAAGACAGCCCAUAGCGGAGUCUUGAUCUUAGAUUUGCCAGUCCCCAGAAUUGUAAGAAAUAAAUGCUUGUUUUUAAUCCACCAGUCUGUGGUGUUCUGUUACAGCAGCCCAGACUGAUGAAGGCAACUCUCUUUUCUUGUUUGCCGUCAUCCCUAAAACUAGAGCAUAUUUUUCCCGAAUUUAUGACG